Molecule: ribosomal RNA, 496 nt
Filed under: uncultured bacterium
Lineage: Bacteria
Description: partial 16S ribosomal RNA
Rfam family: Bacterial small subunit ribosomal RNA
Source: RNAcentral
GAUGAACGCUGGCGGCGUGCCUAAUACAUGCGAGUCGAGCGAACGGACGAGAAGCUUGCUUCUCUGAUGUUAGCGGCGGACGGGUGAGUAACACGUGGAUAACCUACCUAAAGACUGGGAUAACUUCGGGAAACCGGAGCUAAUACCGGAUAAUAUUUUGAACCGCCUGGUUCAAAAGUGAAAGACGGUCUUGCUGUCACUUAUAGAUUGAUCCGCGCUGCAUUAGCUAGUUGGUAAGGUAACGGCUUACCAAGGCAACGAUGCAUAGCCGACCUGAGAGGGUGAUCGGCCACACUGGAACUGAGACACGGUCCAGACUCCUACGGGAGGCAGCAGUAGGGAAUCUUCCGCAAUGGGCGAAAGCCUGACGGAGCAACGCCGCGUGAGUGAUGAAGGUCUUCGGAUCGUAAAACUCUGUUAUUAGGGAAGAACAUAUGUGUAAGUAACUGUGCACAUCUUGACGGUACCUAAUCAGAAAGCCACGGCUAACUACGUG